CACUCGAGCUGAUUUGCUGAAAUCAAAACAGGGACAAUAAUAUGCGAGCGCCAGCCAAUGAGAUUGUUGUUUGCGCAUUAGCUCCGCCUACUACCAGAGAAAGCGGCAGUUCUUAAAAGCUGAAGAAUUCCAAAGGAACAACAUUAUUUUGAAAGGGAAA
This is a long non-coding RNA of Sinocyclocheilus anshuiensis, 160 nucleotides long. RefSeq lists it as uncharacterized. The record is from RefSeq and is a predicted model, not a curated record. The transcript has 3 exons. NCBI's taxonomy places the organism in Eukaryota, Metazoa, Chordata, Actinopteri, Cypriniformes, Cyprinidae.